Molecule: long non-coding RNA, 524 nt
Organism: Erpetoichthys calabaricus (reedfish)
Lineage: Eukaryota; Metazoa; Chordata; Cladistia; Polypteriformes; Polypteridae
Exons: 3
Source: RefSeq, a predicted model, not a curated record
ACCUCCUGAUGGCUCCUUAUAUAAACACUCUCUGCCUGCAGUCACCAUUACUCAACACGUUACACCCGUGGAAACAGCAGAAGCCAUAGAGAUGGCUGCCAGGAUGAUGAAGGUGUUUUACACCCCUUCGGUUCGAUAUGGUACAACAAAGACUGCUUCAGGUGUAACUGUUACAUUUCUGGAAUGAAAUGCUGCAAUCAAGUUCCAAAUUAUUCUGGUCUUCCCGAAUCCUGUAAAGUUGUGGUGACCAAGGACUGCACCCACAAGCUGGUGAACACGCAGGGGCCUGACAGCAACUGUGUCCCAAAGAGUGCUGUCAUGUAGGACGCCGCUCUUUUCUAAGAAAAUCUCCAGCUAACAUUUGGAAGGUUUUUUUACAUUUUUUCUCUAUUCUUCAUUUAUCAAGGCUUCUUCUUUGAUAGCGAAAGAAAGCGAAAGAAAGCAUGUCAAUCCAUAUCUCACAAAUUCAUUGUGUAUAUGAGUAUUUGCUGACUUAUCCAAAAAUAAAAACCGUUAUGCUCUGC